GUGGGGAAUCUUAGACAAUGGGGGAAACCCUGAUCUAGCCAUGCCGCGUGAGCGAUGAAGGCCUUAGGGUUGUAAAGCUCUUUCAGAGGGGAAGAUAAUGACGGUACCCUCAGAAGAAGCCCCGGCUAACUCCGUGCCAGCAGCCGCGGUAAUACGGAGGGGGCUAGCGUUGUUCGGAAUUACUGGGCGUAAAGCGCACGUAGGCGGACCAGAAAGUCAGGGGUGAAAUCCCGGGGCUCAACCCCGGAACUGCCUUUGAAACUCCUGGUCUUGAGGUCGAGGGAGGUGAGUGGAAUUCCGAGUGUAGAGGUGAAAUUCGUAGAUAUUCGGAGGAACACCAGUGGCGAAGGCGGCUCACUGGCUCGAUACUGACGCUGGGGUGCGAAAGCGUGGGGAGCAAACAGGAUUAGAAACCCCAGUAGUCC
This 425-nucleotide ribosomal RNA is filed under the name uncultured bacterium. RNAcentral describes it as "bacterial SSU rRNA". It matches the Rfam family "Bacterial small subunit ribosomal RNA", at positions 354 to 796 of the family's 1533-position model. The record is from RNAcentral.